AGAGGCAGAGCUCUGGGGCGUCUCCACCAUGGCCUGGACCCCGCUCCUGCUCCCCCUCCUCACUCUCUGCACAGGUUCUGUGGCCUCUUCUGAGCUGACUCAGCCACCUGCAGUGUCUGUGCCUUUGGGACAGACAGCCAGAAUAAGCUGCCAGGGAGACAGCUUAGGAAGCUAUUAUGCUAGCUGGUACCAGCAGAAGACAGGCCAGGCUCCUGUGCUGGUCAUCUAUGGUAAUAACAAACGGGCCUCAGGGAUCCCUGACCGAUUCUCCAGCUCCGUGUCAGGCAACACAGCCACCCUGACCAUCAGCAGAGCCCAGGCUGAGGAUGAGGCCAACUAUUACUGUCAGUCAUUUGACAGUAGUGCUAAUGCUCACAGUGAUACAGGCUGAUGGGGAAGUGAGACACAAACCCCUUCCCCAUCUAUGUCACAGUCUCCUCCAGCCCCAGGGGCACUGAAGACAAAGCCCUGAGCAUGUCUGGCCCAGGUUCCCAGAUCUGAGAUCCCCAGGCUGCAGUCUCCUCCCAGCCCUCCAGGCAGGCUCUGUGGAAGGUGGAUCAGGACUGGAUUUACAGCUGGUAGGACCAGGUUGUUCUGCUUUUUUCUGGAAAAGAGUGUGAAUUGGUGACAGAUGGCCUAGUUGGAUAGAU
Non-coding RNA from Diceros bicornis minor, 650 nucleotides. NCBI's taxonomy places the organism in Eukaryota, Metazoa, Chordata, Mammalia, Perissodactyla, Rhinocerotidae. The record is from the annotation of a RefSeq genome assembly.